Non-coding RNA from Acanthosepion pharaonis, 99 nucleotides. The record is from the annotation of a GenBank genome assembly. Lineage: Eukaryota; Metazoa; Mollusca; Cephalopoda; Sepiida; Sepiidae.
GUUGAAACACCGGUUUCCGUACGGACACCUUUGUUAAGCAACGUCGAGCCUAGCCAGUACUUAGAUGGGUGUCUGCUUGGGAAUACAAGGUGUUGUAAG